RNAcentral lists this ribosomal RNA (466 nucleotides) under uncultured bacterium. RNAcentral describes it as "partial 16S ribosomal RNA". It matches the Rfam family "Bacterial small subunit ribosomal RNA", at positions 28 to 507 of the family's 1533-position model. The record is from RNAcentral.
GAUGAACGCUGGCGGCGUGCUUAACACAUGCAAGUCGAACGAUGAAGCCCAGCUUGCUGGGUGGAUUAGUGGCGAACGGGUGAGUAACACGUGAGUAACCUGCCCUUAACUCUGGGAUAAGCCUGGGAAACUGGGUCUAAUACCGGAUAGGAGCGUCCACCGCAUGGUGGGUGUUGGAAAGAUUUAUCGGUUUUGGAUGGACUCGCGGCCUAUCAGCUUGUUGGUGAGGUAAUGGCUCACCAAGGCGACGACGGGUAGCCGGCCUGAGAGGGUGACCGGCCACACUGGGACUGAGACACGGCCCAGACUCCUACGGGAGGCAGCAGUGGGGAAUAUUGCACAAUGGGCGCAAGCCUGAUGCAGCGACGCCGCGUGAGGGAUGACGGCCUUCGGGUUGUAAACCUCUUUCAGUAGGGAAGAAGCGAAAGUGACGGUACCUGCAGAAGAAGCACCGACUAACUACGUG